Molecule: long non-coding RNA, 1655 nt
Filed under: Homo sapiens (human)
Lineage: Eukaryota; Metazoa; Chordata; Mammalia; Primates; Hominidae
Description: non-protein coding lnc-SHOC2-3:2
Source: RNAcentral
GGAGAAGAUAUGAGGUAAUUAAGGGUACAAGAAGUUGAGAUUCAAACAUCCUCCACCUUCCCACCCCCCACUGCCAGUGGGUGAUAAGGAAAUGAUCACAGACGACUGAAGUGAGCUAACAUGAUUGUGGAUAUACCCAUAUUAAUUCAUACCGGAAACACAGAUGAGAAGGUUGAGAAGGAAUAGUAAAGACCAUGAGUUCGGUUUAGAUUCACAGAGUGUGGAAGUCCAAGAGGAAGGUAAAAAGGACUGAAGGCCCAGAGUCAACUGUACAGUAGUACAAGCUACGGAGGUGGAUAUAAUCACUCAAGAAAGAUAUGGCAAAAUGGUAAGUGGUGGGGUGAUGGUAAAAAGAGACAAGGGUCUAGUGUGGUGGUUGAAAGAAGCAGCUGAAGUCAGAUUAGUCACUUAAAUUACUUGAUUUUCUGAGCCUUCGUUUCAACUGCAAGAUAAAGCUUACAAUGGCAUCAACUUGAGAUGGCUGGUGCAUUAAAGAUAUAAUUCAUAUAAAGCCAUUAGACCAAACCCUGCAUGAGAGCUCAAUGAAUGUCAGCAAUUCUUACCAUAGUGUACCAUUAUAAUGUUGGCAUAAAAUUAGAUUUUCAGAAAAAAUAAGCUUAUUAACAUGUAUUAGUUAUAGAGGCUUAUUACUAAAAAUGCAUGAUGAAAAACCUAUGGGCAAGCAAAAAUAUUUUAGAAUUCUCCACCUCUUCUCUCAAUACCCAUACUCUUAAGAGUUAUAUUAAAGGCAGACUUGUUUAAAUGUCAGGACAUUUACCUUAGCUUCUUUCCUUUAGUUAGCCUAGUGGCUCUUAAAUUUUAGUUUGCUUAAGAAUAACAAUAGCAACACAGUGUUUAGUACGAAGUCAUGCAUGUAUUUCAACUAAGUAGAUAUUUUAAGGAAUUUUCUGCAGUAAUUUUGAAAAAACUUUUAUCACCAUAACUGGUGAUUUUGGAAUUGAAUUACCCAUGUGCCCAUCCACCUCCCACUGCAUCUCCCAGUUGCAGCGGGAGGUGAACGGGCACAUGGGUAAAAUUAUAUAUUGGGUACACAUAUAUAUAUGAUGAAAUUUAACAGACUAAAACAAGGUUUAAGAAGAGUUAUCUUGUCCAACAUCAUAUAGUCGAUAAGAAACAGGAUUUGAACUCGGGUCUGCCUUACUCAAAGGCAAGGUCUCUUUUCAGUUUUCUCUAUGCUACAUCUGUAGGAUAGGGAGAUCCCAAGCAGGUUUAGUACGGUGCUUCACUGAAGGAAUAUCAACAUUUAAGAAGAUGGUGGAGAGAUAAUCGUAGACUAUGGUGUGCAGAAGCCAACAAAGGCUGAAGUAACAUACAAUCUUCAAUUUCUACUGAAAUGGGAAAUUUUGAAGACACUAAUAACCCUUACAAAGGAGGGUGAAAAUAAAAUAUGAGGCAAACAGUAAAUCUCAGGAAUGAGGUAGACGAAAAAAUAAGCGCAGCAUAUUGACUAAAGCACAUUUCUUCCUCUAUAGUUUGGGAACUGUGUCACAGUCGGACCAAUAUAUGGCUCUAACCAACAUGUAGCUUUUCUUUUCUUUUCUUUUUUUUUUUUUUUGGUCUUCUUAAUUUGAGGAUUUAGCAUUCCAGUUGUCAUGUUUGAUGCCAUUCUGAAAUAAAUCUCUUAGGAAGAAAAA